Acanthosepion pharaonis is the source of this 84-nucleotide non-coding RNA. The record is from the annotation of a GenBank genome assembly. Lineage: Eukaryota; Metazoa; Mollusca; Cephalopoda; Sepiida; Sepiidae.
UCAUCCGAUCACCGAAGUUAAGCAACCUCGAGCCUAGUCAAUAAUUAGAUAGAUGACCGCUUGGGAAUAUCGGGUGCUGCAAGC